CGUGGGGAACCUGCCCCAUAGUCUGGGAUACCACUUGGAAACAGGUGCUAAUACCGGAUAAGAAAGCAGAUCGCAUGAUCAGCUUUUAAAAGGCGGCGUAAGCUGUCGCUAUGGGAUGGCCCCGCGGUGCAUUAGCUAGUUGGUAAGGUAAAGGCUUACCAAGGCGAUGAUGCAUAGCCGAGUUGAGAGACUGAUCGGCCACAUUGGGACUGAGACACGGCCCAAACUCCUACGGGAGGCAGCAGGCC
RNAcentral lists this ribosomal RNA (248 nucleotides) under uncultured Lactobacillus sp. RNAcentral's name for it is "partial 16S ribosomal RNA". It matches the Rfam family "Bacterial small subunit ribosomal RNA", at positions 116 to 354 of the family's 1533-position model. Lineage: Bacteria; Bacillati; Bacillota; Bacilli; Lactobacillales; Lactobacillaceae. The record is from RNAcentral.